Molecule: ribosomal RNA, 253 nt
Filed under: uncultured prokaryote
Description: partial 16S ribosomal RNA
Rfam family: Bacterial small subunit ribosomal RNA
Source: RNAcentral
UACGAGUGGUGCAAGCGUUAUUCGGAAUAAUUGGGCGUAAAGGGUGCGCAGGCGGUAUGCUAAGUCAACUGUUAAAUAUCUCAGCCUAACUGAGAAAAUGCAGUAGAUACUGGCGUACUAGAGAGUGGAAGAGAGAAGUGGAAUUCUUGGAGUAGCGGUAAAAUGCGUAGAUCUCAAGAGGAACAUCGAUGGCGAAGGCAGCUUCUUGGUCCAUUUCUGACGCUCAUGCACGAAAGCGUGGGGAGCAAACAGG